This 481-nucleotide ribosomal RNA is filed under the name uncultured bacterium. Its description in RNAcentral is "partial 16S ribosomal RNA". It matches the Rfam family "Bacterial small subunit ribosomal RNA", at positions 28 to 507 of the family's 1533-position model. The record is from RNAcentral.
GAUGAACGCUGGCGGCGUGCUUAACACAUGCAAGUCGAACGAAGCAUUUGCGACAGAUUUUUUCGGAAUGAAGUUGCUUAUGACUGAGUGGCGGACGGGUGAGUAACGCGUGGGUAACCUGCCUUGUACUGGGGGAUAGCAGCUGGAAACGGCUGGUAAUACCGCAUAAGCGCACAAUGUUGCAUGACAUGGUGUGAAAAACUCCGGUGGUGUAAGAUGGACCCGCGUCUGAUUAGCUAGUUGGUGAGAUAACAGCCCACCAAGGCGACGAUCAGUAGCCGACCUGAGAGGGUGACCGGCCACAUUGGGACUGAGACACGGCCCAGACUCCUACGGGAGGCAGCAGUGGGGAAUAUUGCACAAUGGAGGAAACUCUGAUGCAGCGACGCCGCGUGAGUGAAGAAGUAAUUCGUUAUGUAAAGCUCUAUCAGCAGGGAAGAUAGUGACGGUACCUGACGAAGAAGCUCCGGCUAAAUACGUG